RNAcentral lists this ribosomal RNA (354 nucleotides) under Escherichia coli. RNAcentral describes it as "partial 23S ribosomal RNA". It matches the Rfam family "Bacterial large subunit ribosomal RNA", at positions 1305 to 1658 of the family's 2925-position model. The record is from RNAcentral. Lineage: Bacteria; Pseudomonadati; Pseudomonadota; Gammaproteobacteria; Enterobacterales; Enterobacteriaceae.
AGUAACGACAAUGGGUGUGAAAAACACCCACGCCGAAAGACCAAGGGUUCCUGCGCAACGUUAAUCGACGCAGGGUUAGUCGGUUCCUAAGGCGAGGCUGAAAAGCGUAGUCGAUGGGAAACAGGUUAAUAUUCCUGUACUUCUGGUUACUGCGAUGGAGGGACGGAGAAGGCUAGGCCAGCUUGGCGUUGGUUGUCCAAGUUUAAGGUGGUAGGCUGAAAUCUUAGGUAAAUCCGGGGUUUCAAGGCCGAGAGCUGAUGACGAGUCGUCUUUUAGAUGACGAAGUGGUUGAUGCCAUGCUUCCAAGAAAAGCUUCUAAGCUUCAGGUAACCAGGAACCGUACCCCAAACCGAC